AGGAAUAUUGGUCAAUGGGCGAGAGCCUGAACCAGCCAAGUAGCGUGCAGGAUGACGGCCCUAUGGGUUGUAAACUGCUUUUAUAAGGGAAUAAAGUGAGCCUCGUGAGGCUUUUUGCAUGUACCUUAUGAAUAAGGACCGGCUAAUUCCGUGCCAGCAGCCGCGGUAAUACGGAAGGUCCGGGCGUUAUCCGGAUUUAUUGGGUUUAAAGGGAGCGUAGGCCGGAGAUUAAGCGUGUUGUGAAAUGUAGGCGCUCAACGUCUGCACUGCAGCGCGAACUGGUUUCCUUGAGUACGCACAAAGUGGGCGGAAUUCGUGGUGUAGCGGUGAAAUGCUUAGAUAUCACGAAGAACUCCGAUUGCGAAGGCAGCUCACUGGAGCGCAACUGACGCUGAAGCUCGAAAGUGCGGGUAUCGAACAGGAUUAGAUACCCUGGUAGUCCGCACGGUAAACGAUGGAUGCCCGCUGUUGGUCUGAACAGGUCAGCGGCCAAGCGAAAGCAUUAAGCAUCCCACCUGGGGAGUACGCCGGCAACGGUGAAACUCAAAGGAAUUGACGGGGGCCCGCACAAGCGGAGGAACAUGUGGUUUAAUUCGAUGAUACGCGAGGAACCUUACCCGGGCUUGAAUUGCAGAGGAAGGAUUUGGAGACAAUGACGCCCUUCGGGGCCUCUGUGAAGGUGCUGCAUGGUUGUCGUCAGCUCGUGCCGUGAGGUGUCGGCUUAAGUGCCAUAACGAGCGCAACCCCUCUCCUUAGUUGCCAUCAGGUUAAGCUGGGCACUCUGGGGACACUGCCACCGUAAGGUGUGAGGAAGGUGGGGAUGACGUCAAAUCAGCACGGCCCUUACGUCCGGGGCUACACACGUGUUACAAUGGCAGGUACAGAGAGACGGUCCCUUGCAAAAUGGAUCAAAUCCUUAAAGCCUGUCUCAGUUCGGACUGGGGUCUGCAACCCGACCCCACGAAGCUGGAUUCGCUAGUAAUCGCGCAUCAGCCAUGGCGCGGUGAAUACGUUCCCG
This 1018-nucleotide ribosomal RNA is filed under the name uncultured bacterium. RNAcentral describes it as "bacterial SSU rRNA". It matches the Rfam family "Bacterial small subunit ribosomal RNA", at positions 357 to 1376 of the family's 1533-position model. The record is from RNAcentral.